AGUGAACGCUGGCGGUAGGCCUAACACAUGCAAGUCGAACGGCGGCACAGUAAGAGCUUGCUCUUACGGGUGGCGAGUGGCGGACGGGUGAGGAAUACAUCGGAAUCUACUUUUUCGUGGGUGAUAACGUAGGGAAACUUACGCUAAUACCGCAUACGACCUACGGGUGAAAGCAGGGGAUCUUCGGACCUUGCGCGUUUGAAUGAGCCGAUGUCGGAUUAGCUAGUUGGCGGGGUAAAGGCCCACCAAGGCGACGAUCCGUAGCUGGUCUGAGAGGAUGAUCAGCCACACUGGAACUGAGACACGGUCCAGACUCCUACGGGAGGCAGCAGUGGGGAAUAUUGGACAAUGGGCGAAAGCCUGAUCCAGCCAUACCGCGUGGGUGAAGAAGGCCUUCGGGUUGUAAAGCCCUUUUGUUGGGAAAGAAAAGCAGCAGGUUAAUACCCCGCUGUUCUGACGGUACCCAAAGAAUAAGCACCGGCUAACUUCGUG
Molecule: ribosomal RNA, 492 nt
Filed under: uncultured bacterium
Lineage: Bacteria
Description: partial 16S ribosomal RNA
Rfam family: Bacterial small subunit ribosomal RNA
Source: RNAcentral